UUCGAACAUACAAUGUGUACAUUGAAAAUACCAUGCCUAUUCUCAAACUUGAACAGUUGUGAAUGGGGGAGAAACUAAUCUUCAUUAUCUUUUACUAUACGUGCAUUUGUGUUUGCUAUGAAAAUUUGAAGAGAAAUAUUUGUUAUUGGUUCAGGAUUAGUGAUGGUAGUACCGAAAAAUCCAUCCCAUUCUAAUCUACCGUAUAAGCCUGCCCAAUGAUUAUGACGUCUUCCAGUAUGAGGUAAACACCACGGGAUCAAAGUAUUAUACUGUCUAGCCAUUGGAUCACACAUCUUGCCCGCGCAACAACUACAUACGCCACGAUGUGCUCCAGUAGAACUCUUACCUGCUUU
This is a long non-coding RNA of Bombus huntii, 353 nucleotides long. RefSeq lists it as uncharacterized. NCBI's taxonomy places the organism in Eukaryota, Metazoa, Arthropoda, Insecta, Hymenoptera, Apidae. The transcript is spliced from 2 exons. The record is from RefSeq and is a predicted model, not a curated record.